UACGAAGGGGGCUAGCGUUGCUCGGAAUGACUGGGCGUAAAGGGCGCGUAGGCGGAUGGCACAGUCAGAUGUGAAAUUCCCGGGCUUAACCUGGGGGCUGCAUUUGAUACGUGUUGUCUAGAGUGAGGAAGAGGGUUGUGGAAUUCCCAGUGUAGAGGCGAAAUUCGUAGAUAUUGGGAAGAACACCGGUGGCGAAGGCGGCAACCUGGUCCUUGACUGACGCUGAGGCGCGAAAGCGUGGGGAGCAAACAGG
This 253-nucleotide ribosomal RNA is filed under the name uncultured bacterium. RNAcentral's name for it is "partial 16S ribosomal RNA". It matches the Rfam family "Bacterial small subunit ribosomal RNA", at positions 524 to 776 of the family's 1533-position model. The record is from RNAcentral.